This is a non-coding RNA of Dermacentor albipictus, 882 nucleotides long. NCBI's taxonomy places the organism in Eukaryota, Metazoa, Arthropoda, Arachnida, Ixodida, Ixodidae. The record is from RefSeq and is a predicted model, not a curated record.
GUGGCACACGGCUGAAUAACGAUAACAAAAUUUGCGGCCGCACUUGCCUUCUGCUCUUUGUUUCCAUGUGCUUAAUUUGGCGUUCACGUUGCCGUUGUUAACCUUGGUUAUUAUGGGUGAUACUUUCGGUGCGUGUAUCGUGGCCAAGCCGAAUUGACUUCGUAGGACACAACAGAUGGAACUGCCGUUGAGCAGCUUCGUUUGCCUUCAAGACCGAGUGCUGCUGAAAGCUUCCGGAAAGCUUCUUGUAAUCUUUCUGCAAACAACAGGACAGAAAAUAUGGAUUUUCCUUCCUGAUUUCUUUCUUGGCGGGAUCGAAUGGCUACGGUACCUGCAGCUUCAAACUGCAGCAUUCUGUUUUCCGACGCAUCGCACGCCUCUUAACAGUGUUGCAGAUCGAAAGCUGCCUGCUCCUCAGGAGUACCUAUGACGCGUGGCCUAACCAUUUCGGAGCCGGAGAGAAACUGCUACGCGUGUGCUUGGCUGCGAUGGAGAGCAACGACGUCACUACUGGGGCAGCACUGCCGAACGCAAGGAGCAAGCCGUUCAAAGAAGGCGGAGCCGGGGAAAAUUGAUGAAAAAAGGGGCGAAGAUUCUACAGGCGCGACGGAGACGCUGGGAGCAGUCAACCGGGAGGUGGAGCAGCGCCAUGUAGGGAGAGUGGAGGGGGGGUUACGACUAUGAGCGCACGAAGCGAUAAAUAGACACGUGCGCGCGCGCCCGGGCAGCCGUGCAAGCCAUCCCGUUCAAGAAGCCGCCGUCGAGCCAUCCGAAGGCGUUAAUGGAAGCCACUUCCCUCCUCUCCGGCCGGUGAAGGUGCCCUGACGCUGCCGCCCUGCCGAGCGUUGGGCCUCGGCGUCUUAAUUAAACUGUUCUCGGCGA